Molecule: ribosomal RNA, 369 nt
Filed under: Pseudomonas putida LS46
Lineage: Bacteria; Pseudomonadati; Pseudomonadota; Gammaproteobacteria; Pseudomonadales; Pseudomonadaceae
Description: bacterial SSU rRNA
Rfam family: Bacterial small subunit ribosomal RNA
Source: RNAcentral
UUGAACUGAAGAGUUUGAUCAUGGCUCAGAUUGAACGCUGGCGGCAGGCCUAACACAUGCAAGUCGAGCGGAUGAUGGGAGCUUGCUCCUUGAUUCAGCGGCGGACGGGUGAGUAAUGCCUAGGAAUCUGCCUGGUAGUGGGGGACAACGUUUCGAAAGGAACGCUAAUACCGCAUACGUCCUACGGGAGAAAGCAGGGGACCUUCGGGCCUUGCGCUAUCAGAUGAGCCUAGGUCGGAUUAGCUAGUUGGUGGGGUAAUGGCUCACCAAGGCGACGAUCCGUAACUGGUCUGAGAGGAUGAUCAGUCACACUGGAACUGAGACACGGUCCAGACUCCUACGGGAGGCAGCAGUGGGGAAUAUUGGACA